UGGCUCAGGAUGAACGCUGGCGGCGUGCCUAACACAUGCAAGUCGAACGGAGAUUAACGCUGAUGAGGCUUCGGCGGAAUCUUGUUAAAUCUUAGUGGCGGACGGGUGGGUAACGCGUGGGCAACCUGCCUCAUACUGGGGGAUAGCAGUUGGAAACGACUGAUAAUACCGCAUAAGCGCACGGUAUCGCAUGAUACAGUGUGAAAAACUCCGGUGGUAUGAGAUGGGCCCGCGUCAGAUUAGCUAGUUGGUAAGGUAACGGCUUACCAAGGCGACGAUCUGUAGCCGGACUGAGAGGUCGGACGGCCACAUUGGGACUGAGACACGGCCCAAACUCCUACGGGAGGCAGCAGUGGGGGAUAUUGCACAAUGGAGGAAACUCUGAUGCAGCGACGCCCGCGUGAGUGAAGAAGUAUUUCGGUAUGUAAAGCUCUAUCAGCAGGGAAGAAAGGCCCGCAAGGGAGAUGACGGUACCUGACUAAGAAGCCCCGGCUAACUACGUGCCAGCAGCCGC
Molecule: ribosomal RNA, 514 nt
Filed under: uncultured bacterium
Lineage: Bacteria
Description: bacterial SSU rRNA
Rfam family: Bacterial small subunit ribosomal RNA
Source: RNAcentral